This 429-nucleotide ribosomal RNA is filed under the name Bacillota bacterium. RNAcentral's name for it is "Firmicutes bacterium partial 16S ribosomal RNA". It matches the Rfam family "Bacterial small subunit ribosomal RNA", at positions 355 to 776 of the family's 1533-position model. Lineage: Bacteria; Bacillati; Bacillota. The record is from RNAcentral.
UAGGGAAUCUUCGGCAAUGGACGGAAGUCUGACCGAGCAACGCCGCGUGAGUGAAGAAGGUUUUCGGAUCGUAAAGCUCUGUUGUUAGAGAAGAACGUUGGUAGGAGUGGAAAAUCUACCAAGUGACGGUAACUAACCAGAAAGGGACGGCUAACUACGUGCCAGCAGCCGCGGUAAUACGUAGGUCCCGAGCGUUGUCCGGAUUUAUUGGGCGUAAAGCGAGCGCAGGCGGUUCUUUAAGUCUGAAGUUAAAGGCAGUGGCUUAACCAUUGUACGCUUUGGAAACUGGAGGACUUGAGUGCAGAAGAGGAGAGUGGAAUUCCAUGUGUAACGGUGAAAUGCGUAGAUAUAUGGAGGAACACCGGUGGCGAAAGCGGCUCUCUGGUAUGUAACUGACGAUGAGGCUCGAAAGCGUGGGGAGCAAACAGG